GUGAGGGAUAUUGGUCAAUGGGCGAAAGCCUGAACCAGCGACGCCGCGUGGAGGACGAAGGGCUUCGGCUCGUAAACUCCUUUUCCUGCGGAAGAGUAAGGACGGUACGCAGGGAAUAAGUCUCGGCUAACUACGUGCCAGCAGCCGCGGUAAAACGUAGGAGGCGAGCGUUAUCCGGAAUCACUGGGCGUAAAGGGCGUCUAGGCGGGGCAUUAAGCGUGGUGUGAAAGUCCUAGGCUCAACCUAGGGAGUGCGCCGCGGACUGGUGCUCUAGAGGGCGGGCGAAGGGGGUGGAAUUCCCGGUGGAGUGGUGAAAUGCGUAGAUAUCGGGAGGAACACCAGAGGCGAAAGCGGCCCCCUAGCCUGUUUCUGACGCUGAAGCGCGAAAGCGUGGGGAGCGAACGGGAUUAGAUACCCCAGUAGUCC
RNAcentral lists this ribosomal RNA (426 nucleotides) under uncultured bacterium. RNAcentral describes it as "bacterial SSU rRNA". It matches the Rfam family "Bacterial small subunit ribosomal RNA", at positions 354 to 796 of the family's 1533-position model. The record is from RNAcentral.